GAUGAAGAACGCAGCGAAAUGCGAUAAGUAAUGUGAAUUGCAGAAUUCAGUGAAUCAUCGAAUCUUUGAACGCACAUUGCGCCCGCCAGUAUUCUGGCGGGCAUGCCUGUUCGAGCGUCAUUUCAACCAUCAAGCCCCCGGCUUGUGUUGGGGACCUGCGGCUGCCGCAGGCCCUGAAAAGCAGUGGCGGGCUCGCUGUCACACCGAGCGUAGUAGCAUACAUCUCGCUCUGGGCGUGCUGCGGGUUCCGGCCGUUAAACCACCUUCAUAACCCAAGGUUGACCUCGGAUCAGGUAGGACUACCCGCUGAACUUAAGCAUAUCAAUAAGCGGAGGA
RNAcentral lists this unclassified non-coding RNA (336 nucleotides) under soil metagenome. Its description in RNAcentral is "partial contains 5.8S ribosomal RNA, internal transcribed spacer 2, and large subunit ribosomal RNA". The stretch from base 1 to 120 matches the Rfam family "5.8S ribosomal RNA", at positions 35 to 154 of the family's 154-position model. The record is from RNAcentral.